This 254-nucleotide small nuclear RNA is filed under the name Rattus norvegicus (Norway rat). RNAcentral describes it as "7SK RNA". The stretch from base 1 to 226 matches the Rfam family "7SK RNA". Rfam says of the family: 7SK was discovered as an abundant small nuclear RNA in the mid-70s but a possible function has only recently been suggested. Two independent studies have found that 7SK RNA binds the CDK9/cyclin T complex (known as elongation factor P-TEFb). Lineage: Eukaryota; Metazoa; Chordata; Mammalia; Rodentia; Muridae. The record is from Rfam by way of RNAcentral.
AGAUUGAUUUAGCUGCCCUCCUCUGUGUGUGUUCCCCUUAAAGCUUCAUGCUUAGUCAAGGAUGGCAGCCUUCACUGAAUAGAGAUUGAUUCGUCUUUGGUCAGAAGUAUAGGAGAAGCCACACUCUCCUUCUAGACCCUUCAAACAAGCCUGCUAAAGGUAUUUUUGUUGUUGUUGUUGUUAUGGUGGUGGUGUUGGUGAUGGUGGCUGCUGCUUCUCCGUGCGCGCGCGUGCGUGCGCGCGCGCGCGUGUGU